Haplochromis burtoni (Burton's mouthbrooder) is the source of this 374-nucleotide long non-coding RNA. RefSeq lists it as uncharacterized. The record is from RefSeq and is a predicted model, not a curated record. The transcript has 2 exons. Lineage: Eukaryota; Metazoa; Chordata; Actinopteri; Cichliformes; Cichlidae.
CUUCAGAUAAGAAAUGAAUUUUGACUGAAGACUGAUCCAGAUUGUUCUCUCGUGCAGCUGUGAAUCCUCUUCAUAACAGACUGCAGCAGUGGUUCCAGGUGACUGCUCCUGGUCAACAUGAGAAAAAAAGACAUUUCAAAACUGCAUCCCAUCAAACAUCUUCUGUGGAUCAAACCAACAACACGUACUCGCAGCAGUCCCAUGAAUCCCAGCAUGGCUCUUCCUCAUCUAAGGGUCCUUCAUCCACUGAAUCCUCAGAGGAAGACAAGUAGCACGAUGGGACAGAAGAUCAGAAACACAAACACUGAUCAGAUUCUGAAAGAAUCUGUCAAAUAAAACAGCAGAGCAUAUAACAGUCAUGUUGGCGACCUCAC